AUGCAAGACAAUGAUGGAAACACUGCACUGCACUUGGCUAUCCAAGCACGGAACUUUAGGAUAUUCUGUGCUCUAUUUGGGAAUCCAGAGGUGAAUCUAAAUAUAACAAAUAACCAGGGGCAAACUCCCUUGGAUCUAUCCAUCAGUAAGCUUUCAUACGGAAUGAAUUAUAUAGAGAACUCUGAGAAUAAAAUAUACCAUGCCUUGUUGUCUGUUGGAGCAAACUAUGGUGUUGUUUGCUGGGAUAAGGCUGAGGAACCGUUCAGUCGGCAUCCAAAGCCAGAGGAGGAGGACAAAGAAUCACAGAGGCUGAAAAAUGCAGCACAAAUGUCUGUCGUUGGUUCUGUCCUAAUAGCAACUGUUGCGUUCAGUGCAACUUUUGCCAUCCCUGGAGGUUAUAGAGCUGAUGGUCAUACCAAUGAAGGCACACCAACAUAUGCCGGGAGUUAUCUUUUUGACGCGUUCAUGAUAGCCACCACAAUAGCUUUCAUAUGCUCUUCUCUAGCUACCAUUGGCUUCACGUUUUCUGCAAGUCCCUUUGUUAACAUGGUCACCCGCGAUAGGCCGCGAAGUCUACUUAGUCUUAUCCGUGCUUUCCUUCUCGAGUUCAUUCGUAAGCAUGUCUAUUGCAUUUGCACUGGGUGUGUAUAUGGUGCUAGCUCCAGUUGCUCGUAA
This 675-nucleotide ribosomal RNA is filed under the name Triticum aestivum (bread wheat). RNAcentral describes it as "partial small subunit ribosomal RNA". Lineage: Eukaryota; Viridiplantae; Streptophyta; Magnoliopsida; Poales; Poaceae. The record is from RNAcentral.